UACGGGGGGGGCAAGCGUUGUUCGGAAUUACUGGGCGUAAAGGGCUCGUAGGCGGCCAACUAAGUCGGAUGUGAAAUCCCCAGGCUCAACUUGGGAAUUGCAUCCGAUACUGGAUGGCUUGAAUUCGGGAGAGGGAUGCAGAAUUCCAGGUGUAGCGGUGAAAUGCGUAGAUAUCUGGAGGAAUACCGGUGGCGAAGGCGGCAUCCUGGACCGACAUUGACGCUGAGGAGCGAAAGCUAGGGGAGCAAACGGG
This 253-nucleotide ribosomal RNA is filed under the name uncultured bacterium. RNAcentral's name for it is "partial 16S ribosomal RNA". It matches the Rfam family "Bacterial small subunit ribosomal RNA", at positions 524 to 776 of the family's 1533-position model. The record is from RNAcentral.